Molecule: long non-coding RNA, 2772 nt
Organism: Chinchilla lanigera (long-tailed chinchilla)
Lineage: Eukaryota; Metazoa; Chordata; Mammalia; Rodentia; Chinchillidae
Exons: 3
Source: RefSeq, a predicted model, not a curated record
GAGGAGGAAAGGGACCAUCACAUUGACAUCUCUGAUGCCAUCCAGCUUGUUCCAGAUGAGGCGCAGGCGACGGCUACCGCCCUAGGGAGCACUCCCUUCCCUCUGUAGACGGGGCGGAUACCUGUGGCCAAAGGAUGCCAGGGUCUGCAAAGUGGCCCCUCCGAACAGGGGGCCAACAGCCGUGCCGCAGCCCUCACCACCCUGCUUGCUGGGCUGCGGUUGGCUCUGGUGAUGAGGACCCACGGGUACAGGCUCGCGGUCGGUGCCCCCCACCUCUGCUCCCAUGGCUGCCCAGGCCUGAAGUGCAGAGUCGCUGUCCCCAUCGGGGUCUCCGCUGGCAUGGAGCAGCAUGCUGUCCAUGGGGCUCCCAGGAGCCUUCUGGAGGCCUCACCUAAGACAGGACGUGAAGCACUGAGUUCACCAUCAGGAAAAUGAAGUGAGUGGGCACCAACAUGGAGCUCGACGUGCCCGUGUGCACCUGCCGCCUGUGGCUGAGUGCUGCUCCCUGAAGUGGGUGGCUCUGGCGAGGUCAGCCCAGGUGGGGGCACAGGGCAAGCAGAGUCCCCUGAGCCCUGGGCCUCCCUGGGCUUGUUCCCAUAGAGGGCAUCCAACCUGAGGCACUGUGUUUCUCCUCAGAGCAGUGCCAGCGCCUCCCCAUCCCGUGGGCUGCAGAACUGAGGCCGCCCUCAGGCUUCCUGCUGUUCAGGUAGUCCUAACUCCUGUGGCAGUGUCCUUGUCUCUAUCCGCAGAGGCCCCGGUGGGCUGCAGGCUGGCUUCACAUCCACUUAGAGGUCAGGACAGACAGGGACACUAGCAGCUGAGCCCCCGCCCCACCCAUCAGGGAUCCAGGCUCUCCUGGGGCGCUCACAUCAUCCCAAGCUCCUAUGCCAGGCCUUGGGAUGCUGCCCUGUGCGCCCUCUGCUGUCUGCCCCUUGUCCCCAGGACGCUGUGAGGCUUGGGACUCAGCCUUCCACCCCUGCCCACAGCUGGUUUGUCCUCUGGGCUCAUCGAGGCAGCCUCAGUGCUCUGCCUCUCACCGCAUCCGUCCUGCUCCUCCUCCGGCACGGCCCUCUGUCCCUGCAGGCUGGAGCUGGAGGAUAGGAGGAUGACAGGAUGACAGAUCUGCUCUCCAGUCCUCCCUGGUCAGCUUCUCCACACAAACAUGCACAGGCAUACACAAACAUGUGCACACACGCGCAGACACAUGCACACACGUGUGCACUUCUUUCUGGGCGAGGUUGUACAGCCCCUGGUGGGCGUCUGUGGGGUCCUGGGGGAGCAGGUUUCCUUCUCUGAAGGGCAGGGCCUCUGCCUGACCCUGGGGCCUAGGGCCCACCCAGCAUGGCCUCCAUGCCUGGCUGUGGACCUUGCCCUGGACCCUAGCUCUGCCUUCCACGCUCUGCUGGUGGCUGCCCUUCCUGCAGGGCCCUUGGGCUGGGCAGACUCUCUGCCAGACUUCCGUCAGGCAUAGCCCCCAUUUGAGCCUUGUGCCCAGGUCACCUUGCUGGCUCCCUGGGGGUGGAGGCUAAGGAGCCCCUCUGCCUGGUGGUGCCCCUCACUCCCGGACAAGAGGCGAGGAUGGGGUCCCUCUGUCCCUGGCUUCCCUCAGCCCAGUUGUCUGAGUGCAGACUGUGGGCAUCUGGUCCUGCUUCCUCCCACCAGCUCGGCAAUGUGCCCCGGCAGCCAGGGGCAACCUGGCUGGGCCAACCCUUCCUCUCUAGAACCCUAACUCCAACCCCAUGCUUCUCGGGAAUCCUGGGUGCUGAGGGCCAGGGAGCUCAGCCAGGAAGCUGGUUCUUGAACAAGUUGGUCUCUUGAUAGCCUGGCCACCAGGGACUGACAUCCACAGCUGGGAGCCACAACAGCCCGGGUGUCCACUCCCACAUGAUGGGAUGGCUGCUUGCCCAUACUCCCCAAGCCGCCCCUGGGUGCUGCCAGUGGGUGGUCUGUGAGUUCCCCGGGCCCAGGAAGCAGGCUCCAGGGCUCCACUCCCAAGUGCCACCCUGAAUGUCCGUACCUGUCCUCAGAAGACUUGUGGAGCACCGCCCUAGCCCCCAAGUGUGACCUGAUUUGGAAAUGAAGCCUUUCAGAUGCAAGGGCAGGGGCUCCUCCGAAGUGUGGCUGGUGACCCUCCUGGUUGGCUCCAGACUGCACACCCUGAGCCUAUCCCUCCCUCCCCAAGGACACUGGGGACAGGGGUGUCCUCAGCCCAGCUGGACCUGAGUGGACAGGCCUGAAACAUGUCCAGAGCCGGGAGGCAGCAUCCCUCAGCAGGCCUCUCCCUUCAGAGCACACCACUGGCCCCACUGCCCAAGGCCACACUGCCAAGGUCCCACUGGGCUGCCCGGGUGGCCACGUUUGUUCUUUUUAAAUGUUUAUUGUAUCAGUCUGUGUCUGAAGUACAGAAUAACCACAUUCGUCAUGGGACUUGGUAUGUGGGCACGACAGCUCCAGUCCUUCUAUGUCCCCUUCUGCUCUCCGCCCUCUUCCACCAUCUCUAGAUCCUCUUCCUUUCUACAAAAGAUCUACGUAUUUACACUUUGGGAUUCCCAUGUAAGAGAAACCACAUGAUAUUUACGCUUGUGUGUCUGGCUUAUUUCGCUGAACGUCAGGGUAGAAGCUGUACCCAUUUUCCUGAAAAUGAGGAGUUUGUCUUUCUUUAUAGCAGAGUAGUGCUCCGAGGUCUGUAAACACCACAUACUCUUUAUCCAUUUAUCUGUUGAUGGACACACAGGCCACUUCCAAGAUAUAGCUGUUGUGAGCUGUGCUGCU